AUAACACCUCUAGCCAACCGACUUGUUUGACUACAGGGGCUACCCAAAAUGUGUCCUUUAACAACGUUCGUAUAUCGCUAGCUACUGUAGGUGUACAAAACUCACAAAGUUUAUUUAUUUGACCACUGACAAUCCUGUAAAACCUUAGCUAACAUCUAUAUCAACUCAAAGUUGGAAUUCUAUCCUAUUUAAUUGUCUAUUUUCUUUUGUUUUUUGAUGGCAUGCGUUUGAAGUGUAUGUAGUUGAAUGCAUUGUAUGAUAUGUGACAACCUGAUGGUCAUUGAGGGCAAACGUGUCUUUCUAUGUAAACUGAAUUUAACUGCAUAUGAAAUAAUAAUCACCCUACCCAUAACCCCCAAACCCCCCACUGCUGUCCUUCUCCUAGCAGACCUAUCAAGCAAACGUAAGUUCCUUUAUAUGUAUCUAAUACGGUUAUGCUGUCACUUGUCACUGCACUCAUCAGUCAUGAUAAUCGUUUUUUUUCUUGCUUCCUAAGAUGGAAAAUUCAAGGUUCCGUUUCACGCCCUCACAGGAGUUGGUCCUCAAGGCCACACCCCAGGCAGUAAGAGUGGCUGCUGACGGCCCCCCUGCUUCUGGUGCCCAGGGCCCUCCUGUGAGGGCUAAGAAGUGGGAGGAAGUGGAGGCAGAGGCUCGAGCCCGCGUCGUCUCCGAGGGAGGUGACCCCGGUGCAGAGAUGGUCAUCCUGAGCCGGUGCACUGUUCAGUUCGGGGCAAGUACCGGGGUCAGACCUUCAAGUGGAUGAUAGAGAACGACGUGGGCUACAUGGUGUAUGUGGUAACAGUGCAUCAGAAGGAGAGGGAAUGAGAGCGCAGCGUUUCCCAGCAUCCCCUGAUGGGCCAACAGGGACGCCUUGACUCGCUACUCGGGCGCCGAUCCGGCCUUCGCUGAGAUGGUCAGGUUCAACCGGGCGCACGAGGAAGCUAAAGUCCUGUCCUCCCAGCCAGGCCAGGAGGGCAAGGCCCUUGUUGGCAUCGGGAAGUACAAGUGGGACUCGCUGCAGGACCUGUAUGAGACUACGGGUGCAGACAGGAUAAGAUAUGUCAGGAGCUGAGGACGCAGACACCCCGUUAUCCUGGGAGUGCGAUGCGCCUUAUUGACUACAUUCAGCGC
Molecule: long non-coding RNA, 1131 nt
Organism: Salvelinus sp. IW2-2015
Lineage: Eukaryota; Metazoa; Chordata; Actinopteri; Salmoniformes; Salmonidae
Source: RefSeq, a predicted model, not a curated record